CAAUAGCGUAUAUUAAAGUUGUUGCGGUUAAAAAGCUCGUAGUUGAAAGGUGACAGGUUUUUAAUGUACUUCCUCCGGUCAACACAACGGCUUUGCACGCCCGCAGGCAGGUAAUGUAUGUUGCGUGCAUAUAUUUUCUCAUCACCUCGGUGUUGAAGAAUUUAUACUGUGCCAUCAUGUGUUCCUAUCUGUUGUGCUCUGUCGUGACCGUGUGUGAGGUCGCCUGUAUUGCACAUUUCACGGAUGAUAUCUUGACUGAAUCAUUCGGGUUAUGUGCCUGUUACUUUGAGGAAAUUAGAGUGUUCCAAGCAAUCAUCUGUUGUGCAUAUAGUAGCAUGGAAUAACAUCUCAUAACUUCAAUGUUGGUUGUUGGUUUACGGUGUUGAAGUGAUGAUGAAUAGAAACUGAUGGGGGCACUCGUACUUGACAGUCAGAGGUGGAAUUCUUGGAUUUGUCAAAGACGAACAACUGCGAAAGCAUUUGCCACGGAUGUUUUCAUUGA
RNAcentral lists this ribosomal RNA (502 nucleotides) under uncultured eukaryote. RNAcentral's name for it is "partial 18S ribosomal RNA". It matches the Rfam family "Eukaryotic small subunit ribosomal RNA", at positions 592 to 976 of the family's 1831-position model. The record is from RNAcentral.